CAGUCUCUUUCUCAUCGUACACCCAUCAACUACGAAUGCAUCCCGGCGGACAAUACAAAGGCGAUCAGUAUCGCAGGCGCGCGGGUUACAGUCAACAAGGUUAUCUAGCUGCUCAAGGAAACAAUGACCAGUUCUCGGAAAAGACAGGUGGUAGUGGCAGCUACCGGGGCGGCAGAGGACGAGGCGGUUCUUUAAAUAUUGGGUGGGGUGUGGGAGGAAGCGGCAAUUUCCUGGGAUAUCAGGGAAAUCGAGUAGAUGUCGAACCGCCGCUGCAGAGGGAAGUGGAAACGCCAAACGGCCCCACAGUUGACAAAAACGAUCUCUCGACAUGGCGGAGAAAAGACUUCCACGAGCUUGUGAAAGCCUUCGUCGAUGACAAGGCCUCCAACGAGCUUUCAUUCCCAUCCACUUUGACACCUGCUCAACGGAAUAUGGUGCACCGAAUCGCAAUGUCAUUUAACCUCGAUCACAAAUCCAGCGGUGAGGGUGCCAGCCGCGCCUUAAAGCUGACAAAAAUUGGCGGAAUAGUUGAUGCACUGAAGCGGCAGCAAGACGCGGCUGAAGGCGGGGUUCGGGUCAAGACCAUCGAUGGGUAUCAAGGGGCGCAAAAACUCAAGCACGACCAUCUCUCUGAAAGUGAUAUUCUCUCGCUUGAAGAAAAGCUCAAGCCGCACAAAAGCAGCAUGGCUGCUGAAAUCAAGGCUGUGGCGAAUGAGCCAUCCUUGGAGAGAAAGUGUUUCCGAGUGGCUCAGGGAGGACUCUCUGCAGUGCCUAAACUUAGCCGACCAGUCGACCGCGCUCAAUUGAAUCAGUUUCGUAUGUCGCUACCAGCGUACCGGCAUGGCCCACAAAUUAUUAAAUCGGUUCAGGAGAAUUCUGUGGUUGUUAUUUGUGGCGACACUGGCUGCGGCAAAACUACGCAAAUUCCGCAGAUGCUCUACGACGCUGGGAUUUUCGACAAGCACCAUGACGUCAUCUGUACGCAGCCUCGUCGAAUCAGCGCACUCUCUGUUGCGCAGCGCGUGGCGACGGAACGGGGUGAGGCCUGUGGGGAUAGCUGCGGGUACGUUAUCCGCUUCGAGAACAUGACGAGCGCGAGCUCGCAUAUUAUUUACCAGACUACAGGUAUAUUGCUACGCCGCCUCCACUCUGAGCCGGAGUUGAAGAAUGUCGCAUGCGUCGUCGUCGAUGAGGUGCACGAGCGCGAUGUAGAAACGGACUUUUGUCUGCUCUUGUUGCGCGAUAGACUGCGUGCACAGCAGGAGCAUCCGGAGAUAUACCCACUGCAGCUCAAGCUUGUAGUGAUGUCGGCAACAGUGCAGGUUGACGCGCUUGUGUCGUACUUUUCUGGCUACAACAGAGGUCGCGAUAUCCCGCUCAUCACGAUCCCUGGUACACUGUUUCCUGUGAGGGAGUUUUUUUUGGAGGAUGCCUUGCGCAAAGUUGGCGCCUCGGCGUCCGCCGCACCAGCGAUGAGACUCCUUUCGAACCAGAAGCGAGAGGCUCAGCGGAGCGCCGACACGCUAGAGACCGAGGGUAAUGCUGCGUUGUACGAACAGCUGAAGUCGGUGGUGUUCGACACGUUUGACCGGGAUGUGGAAGGGCUUGUUCCUUACGAUCUUGUGUGUGAUUUAAUCAAGAAGAUUCACGAUGAGUCUCGUUCUCACGCGGAGAGUAUUUUGGUAUUUCUGCCAGGGUGGGCGGCGAUUUCCUGCAUUGCGAAUCGACUCAAGCGCUCACAGUUUGCAAGGGAGCUCUCUAUCUUGAUGCUACACUCUAGCCUUACGACGGCAGAGCAGCAGCGCGUUUUUGAGCGGCCACCGAAAAACUACCGCAAAAUUGUGCUCGCCACUAGCAUCGCUGAGACAAGUAUCACGAUCAACGAUAUUGUCUACGUUAUUGACAGCGGUCUCGUGAAGGGGACGUCAUACGAUCCUAUGGGCAACACCAGCGCUCUCAAGGCGACGCUGAUCGGCAAGGCAAACGGGGUGCAGCGACGGGGCCGCGCCGGGCGCUGCCAGCCUGGUGUGUGCUAUCAUCUGCUUCCUAAGGCGGUGUACGAUGACUUGCCCGGCUUCCUCCCUCCCGAAAUCGUUCGGUCUCCACUCGAGGAGGUAUGCUUGCAAUUGAAGGCCAUCGAGUCGAACCAGAAAUGUGCGCAGGUAUUAUCGCGGGCGAUGAGUGCGCCGCCUACGGAGGCAAUAGAGCACGCCGUACAAUUCUUGACGGACAUGGGUGCGUUUACCACUGAGGAGAAGAUGACCAACCUGGGCAGGGCUCUGGCAGCGCUCCCAACGCACCCACUAUUGGGCAAGAUGCUCUUCACGGCCGCCUGCUUUGGUGUUCUAGACACCGUCGCAACGAUUGCGGCUGGUCUUUCGGUCAAGACGCCGUUCAUUCGCCCACAGGCCUUUGAAAAGAACAGCGCUAAAGAGAACCUGCUUCGGAUUGACAACAACGCUCUGUCGGACCACUUUUGCGUCGUAACUCUGUUCACAGGGUGGAUUCGAAGCGGCCGGAGUUUGCAUUACGCGACUUCCCACUUUGCUGAUAACAACACGCUGCGUUCGCUGGAGCGGACGAAGCUGCAGUUCAUCAGACUGGUGCUCCAAUCGUCCUUUGCGAAAGGGAUCGUGUCCCCGGAGGCUCACUUUUCGCGGUACGCAAGCAACAGAGGGCUUGUCAGGCUCGUUCUCCUCUGGUCUCUGUACCCGCGCCUUGCUACCCUUGAGUACCGUGCCAACCGGGGAAGCCAGAACCCUCAGGUGUUCUGCUGGGACAACAAGGCUGCCGUGUUCUCCAUGAAUUCGGUGCUGGGGUUCUACAAGCGUAGAGACUUUGGCGCGAACUCCUUUAUCGUAUACUACGACCGUAUGAACCUCGAGGCGAUGCUGAGCGUUUUCGACGCAACAGCGGUGUCCCCGAUUGACGUUGUGCUGUGCCUGCGCCAGCUCACGGUGCGGCCGCUGCUUGAGGUGCCAGCGCUCUUCUUGCAGGACACUGAGAGCAAGCUGGCUCCGCCGGCGUACCUAGACGUGAACAGCUUGCCAGACAAGGAGAACUACGCGGCGAUGUUUUUCGAUGGCGACAAGAAGUUGUACGUGGCCCCGAAGAAGCUGGCUGGCGUCCUUCAAACCGCGCGGGACUGCUUAGAUUUCUUCCUCGCCACGUGCAUCAAAAGCGUCCGCGCAAAGAAAUUUCCUGAUUCCUUGGUGCAUGUUUUGGCACAGAUCGUGGGAUAUCCCAUCAUUGGCUUCGAUACACUUGCCGCUGGGGUGGCUAGUGCAACUCACAUGGAUCCUGCUAUUCAACAAAUGCAGCUGGCCAGCGCACAUCUACCCGGGUUUGCCCGUCGCCAGGGGCAGGGUGACAUAGACUCGGACGUCUCUGACGAUGAGGCGCCGAUCAUCGGAGACGAAGACGACGACACAUACCUGGGGCGCUUGACCGCAGAGCAAAAAGCAUCCGUGGCGGCCGCUUACGGUGACUUGGCGGUGUUCCGCUACGACGGCGUCGCAGAGCUCUUGCAUGCGGCCAAGAGGGCAGAGGGCUUGUCAGCCUUGCCGGAGGAGAAAAUGGAAGGAGGGGAUGUGAACGCCGCCGGCGACGAUGAGGAAGACGAGGAGGAUGAGGACGAAGAGAUCAUCGUUGCUAACCUGAACCUGGAGGAGAUGCAAGUUCUGCAAAACGCGUGAGUGCCUCUCAAAUCGCUGGCCAUCUCUUUUCGCUCGUCAGCUUUGAAGGCGGCCUAGCGUGGGGGUGGGUGCUUUGACGCUAAUGCCCAUCAGCCCAGGUGAAGACGCUGCUUGCUUCAGCUGCUUGUUGCGUUUCGGCAUGUUCUGUCGUUUUUUUCCUUCCCCCCUCUCGCUGCGCUAAUUUGUGCUGGUGAUUCAUAUCUUAUUACUGCCUCUAUGUUCUGGGCGCCGAGAAGCAGUCUCCAAUUGUAAGGUUUGUUUGCUUCUCUUUUCGCUUUGUUGUCUUCAGGCGAACUCCCUCCGCAAGAAGUAUUUAUGUUAGAAUAAGUUCUCGCUGCAUGCGCACGCAGGCACUCAUCUGCAUGAGGUGCAGAUCUCUCUGCACACUAUCCUGU
Molecule: unclassified non-coding RNA, 4090 nt
Filed under: Leishmania donovani
Lineage: Eukaryota; Euglenozoa; Kinetoplastea; Trypanosomatida; Trypanosomatidae
Description: gene:LdHU3.22.1950(CDS-product:ATP-dependent_DEAD /H_RNA_helicase_putative)
Source: RNAcentral